UGGGGAAUUUUGGACAAUGGGCGAAAGCCUGAUCCAGCCAUGCCGCGUGAGUGAAGAAGGCCUUCGGGUUGUAAAGCUCUUUUAGUCGGAAAGAAAGAGUUGCAAUGAAUAAUUGUGAUUUAUGACGGUACCGACAGAAAAAGCACCGGCUAACUACGUGCCAGCAGCCGCGGUAAUACGUAGGGUGCGAGCGUUAAUCGGAAUUACUGGGCGUAAAGCGUGCGCAGGCGGUUAUGCAAGUCAGAUGUGAAAGCCCCGGGCUUAACCUGGGAAUUGCGUUUGAAACUACAAGACUAGAGUGCAGCAGAGGGGAGUGGAAUUCCAUGUGUAGCAGUGAAAUGCGUAGAGAUGUGGAAGAACACCGAUGGCGAAGGCAGCUCCCUGGGUUGACACUGACGCUCAUGCACGAAAGCGUGGGGAGCAAACA
RNAcentral lists this ribosomal RNA (427 nucleotides) under uncultured beta proteobacterium. RNAcentral's name for it is "bacterial SSU rRNA". It matches the Rfam family "Bacterial small subunit ribosomal RNA", at positions 355 to 774 of the family's 1533-position model. Lineage: Bacteria; Pseudomonadati; Pseudomonadota; Betaproteobacteria. The record is from RNAcentral.